Molecule: long non-coding RNA, 4996 nt
Filed under: Brassica napus (rape)
Lineage: Eukaryota; Viridiplantae; Streptophyta; Magnoliopsida; Brassicales; Brassicaceae
Description: long non-coding RNA (BNAP_LNC006033)
Source: RNAcentral
UACCUCAUCCAUGGAGCCAAACUUUUCUCCAUUUCUUUAGCCUCAAUGUUAAUACUUCAAUGGCAGAAAACUGCUUCUUCAAUUCUCGUCAGAUAUCUCUUGUGCUGUGGGUUUCUCUUCACCAGCUGCAGACUGUCCGUUUUCAGGUGUUUCUGUAGUUUCUUGUGCAGUGACUUCUUCAUCCUCUGCAGCUUUAUUCUCCUUGUUGCUCUCUUCUUCGCCUCCACUCUUCUCCUCAGCGCUUUCAGUAUCAUGUACCUCCUCUAAAGCCACUGGUGCAGGUAUUAUAUGUCCAUUCUGAGGCUGUGCGGGUAUGUUACACGGAUAUGCACCUGCUACCGGCGACAACGGGUACCCAUUCUGCGUUAUUUCCGUCCCAUUUGGUGAUACAAGAUAGCCGUUUGGUGACACUGGAUAUCCGUUAGAAACCCAUGGUUGACUCGGUAUGAACUCCGCGGCAUGAGGGUUCAUUAUUCUUGGCCCAAUGAAUUGCUUAGCCUCGCCAUUAGACUCGGGGCUAAUGGGGAAGCUUGGUUUGUUACGAGGAACCCUGUUUCCAGAUCGGUUGAAGCCACCACCUGAGAGCCUCGGCCCAUAGGGAACUCGAGCUGUUACAGACUGAUGAGGAGUUGACCUGCGGACAUGGUUUACAGGAAGCAUUGGUGGAAUAUUGACUGGGGAGGGAAGGAUUCCCACAUGGUCAUUGAAUCCUGGAACUGUAAUCGACCCAAAAAUUGGAAUGGUCGUUGGGGUAUAGGGUGGUGCAGAAGCAGAGAGCUUCUUGCUCGUCUCUUUUUGCGCCUCCAAUGCCUCUUGCUUUUCUCCAUCUGCAACUACUGAUGACUUUGGACUUAAGUCUCCAUUAGGCAGAGCUUCAGUUUCACCAUCUACUGCUUUAGCAGUAGCAUCAGACACAUCCUUCUGUUGCUUCAGUUCUGUUACUGGUCCACUUCCAUUUGAAUCUUUUGCUGUUUGUACACUUUCAGAUAUUCCUUGACUUGCAUCUGAAACCCCCGUCUUUGUUGGAGAUCCUUCUUCUCCUGCCUUUUCAGCCUUGAUAUCCUCUUGUGAACUCAUGAACUUUGAUCCACCAACCGCAGCUCCUCCUUGUUCAUUGCCAUCAGCAUUUUUCGUUUCCGUUUCGGUAGCCUCAUGCUUACUCUCACUCUCAUCCUCCUCAGCCUUAACUUUUUCAGGACCAUCUACUUUUGCCGCGUCCAAAGUCUCUGGGACAGUCGUUUCUUCUGUCAACUGCUCCGCAACUAUUUUCACAAUUGUUCCAGGGGGUGCCAGUGCAACCUCCUUAUAGGAAAACAGUUUUCCAGCUUGGACAGUCACAGGGCUCACCAUAGAAAUCGGCUUGUUGAUCUGUUCGGUGGCUGAUUUAUUGCUAACUGGCUUUUCUCCCACUAUAUUGGAACUGUUUUUCUUUUUAUUCAAACUCGGGCUCUUCAAAGCCUUCUUGGCGUGCUGGGAAGUAGAACCAGCAGCAGAUAUUGAAAUCUCAUUUGGGCUAGUCCUUGGGGACGCGAAAUUGGUGGGUUUUCCUCUGCUUUUUGAUGUCUGCUGGUUCGCGUUCGUGAAGUUUGUGUUCAGCUUUGCCAGGCUGGGACGGGUUCUACGCCCAGAAGGAUAGCGAUUUUUCGGGACAGCUUCUUGCCAUCCUUCGUCAGAGGAGUCCUCCUCUUGGGCUGUGGACUCUGCCUUAACCAGCGUCACCUGAUCUCGAGGUUCCAUAACACGUUCAUCAACCUUUGUUUCUUCAGGUUUUGCUUCGGACUUAAUGUCUUUAUCACUUGAACUCUCCACAGUGAUAGGAGUCGGAGUCAGAAUUUCAUCAUCUUUCUGAUUUUCUUCCAACACAGAUGUUGGACUUAGUCCUGGUCUUCCCUUGACCUGAAUAAACAUUUCGAUGAAAAUAUCUGUCACACAACUUAUUAGUGAGAGCAGUUCAAUAGAAACAUGGAUUAAGCCAGCGGAAAUCAAAUAUGACCUUCAUGCGAGCUUUCCUUUGGGCGUCCCUUGUUUUGAGAUCAGUCUCCGGGGUUAUAUAAUCCAGCAGGUCUGAUACACUGUUAUUUGGACGAAAGUUCAUGGGUUACAUACUCAGGACAAGAGUUUACACAAGCUAUAAAUUUAUACUAUGCAUUUUAGAUUUCAUAUAUAGUAGUCCGUUUCUACUUAAAAUACCUGAGAUGGCCUUUGCUGGAAAUAGAGGCGUCUGGCUUGGGAGUACCAUUUCGUGCAGCUUCUUGUUGUUCCAGAGCUUUAGACUCAAAAUACUCAAGCCACGCAGCCGCAUCCUAACAUAGUUCUGGAAUGUAAGAAACUUAGAGACAUACUUCAAAGCUAACUCUGUGUGCUGAAGACGAUAAUAGAAGACGGCCAGGUCGCCGUAGCUUUUCAUUGUGUCUGGAUGAUCAAGUCCAAGUUCCCUUUCAUUUAUGUCGAGUGCUUUUUGCUGAUAAAUAGUAGCCUGAAUAAUGAAAACUGGUUAGAUGAUUUGAGCUAUGCCUUGGAGACUGUCUCGAGUUCUUUCAAAGUGUAUACCUGGUUAAAGUCCCCAGUAUGGUACAGGACAACAGCAAGAAGACUAUAUGCUCCGGCAGUCAUUCUAUGAUAUGGGCCGCACACUGCUACAAGCUUCGCCAAUGCCUAUAAAGUCGUCCCAGAAUAUCAACUAUUUUAUACAGUUCGAACAAAAAAGAAACUAUUCAAUGACAAAAAGUGUCGGAAAAAGCUGGAGUGUUGAUUCUUUCAGUGCAAAAGCAUCCUUGCCCGUGAAAACAGAACUCGUUAAUUCAAACUUACAUGGUGCUAAAAAUGCCUAUUCAGUAAGUCUACGCUAGUUCUGAAAAAAAGUUGAUGAGGAUAAAAGAAGAGAAGAAAAAUGUUCAAUUGCUUCCAGUUCAGAGAAGAAAGGUUAUAUAAUGAGUGGCGGUAGUGGGAAGAGGGCAGGCAAAGAAGGGAGCAGCGUAGUCAGACUAGUGAAGAGCUUCAUGACAUGUUAGUAUAAGAAGGAGUGAGAAAGUUAUCGUUAUACCUUGGUACCAUAACUGACAGCAUCCUCCAGUUUGCCUUUAUCUAAGGAAGUUUUGGAUGAUUCCAAUAAAGUGCGUCCAUCGGCGGAUGAACAUGCUACGUGCUGCACACAAAAGCAGUGCUCUUUAGCCACUUAAGAAUUUUACCUUUUAUGGCCUAUUACUAGACAAAGAGAGUUACGCAUGGUACCUUAUAUACAGGAACCAUACUAAUGAUAUCUAACUUCUUAAAUGGACUUGACGUGUCCAUCUCAUAAUCCUUAGGAACAAGCUCCAGUCCAACCUAAACCGAUGAGUGAAGUAACAUAUGAGAAUCAAAGGUUAGAUUGUCCACUACCUCCUGGACUUGUUUCAUGGCUACCGUGGCCUCUUUCCUUAUGGCUCUCGCGUUAGGAAACACAGACUUACAUUCUUGGGAGCUUGAUUCCUCACUGAAGCUCUCAUGCUGCAUAUACUCUGGACUCCAGUUGGCUGUGCUUUUCUUCCUACAAGCUUGGUGCGUGUCGCGGAAAGGACCUCUUUUCUCUGCACUCUUCAACCCUCUUUCUACGGUCAUUGUCACUUUCUUUGGUGCUUUGUAUUUAAAAGAGAAGACGUACCUCGGAAGGUACAACAUAUAUAGGUCUCUUUUCUUACUGCCUUCUCUCAUUUCACAACUUGAACUGUUUUGUCCGUUUUUUUUUCCAGCUUGCUGGGGGCUUUGGCUAUCAUCCUUGGACUCUACAUUGUUCUAUGGGGAAAAUCAGAGGACUAUCAAGAAGAAGCAACAGACCUGAAGUUGCAAGAUGAACAUACCAAUCUCUCCCAACUUUUGAUUGGUGAUAAGGCGUUUCGUAGUUCAGAGCUGUUAGAACCUCUUCUCAUGUAAAUUCUAUAACAAGGCAGUUUCUAGAUGACAAUGAUAAAAACCCACAAAAUGAAAUGGAACUUCUUUUUACAACUUUCACACGUACCAACAGAUUUAGAAGCUACUCCCACGCACAAAAGCAAGUGCUUGCAUAUUGAAAGAGAGAAAAUACAUUGAAAUGCAAUGUAUUCCGAGAAGUGAGCCAAAACAAGAAAGAGGAAGAAGGCGAAGAAGUUGAGAAUUCUGAGCAGUUUGUUGCUACACUGAAUCUUUGCUUGCUCUUUACGGAAGAGGACAGUCUUUACGUUAAUACGUUAAUCAAGUUAACUAGUAAUUACUCUCGAGUAAUUGUCUGAAGGAAAAGCUUUUGCAAAUCACACGCGAGUGACAAAAUUAACUUGAGAAUUAUUCCUAGGUCCAAGUUUCUGAGCUCUCUGAAAAUCAUUUAUUAAUUAAUUUUGUCAAAACAUAUAAGAAAACAAAAGAAAAGUGUUUAUCCAAGAGGCUCUUCAAGAAGUUGAAUACAGUAUGUUUUUAGUUUUCAGCUAUGGAAACCAAAAGCUGAAAUCAUGAGUAAACUGGAGGGACGAGUCUUGGUUCUGUGCUGCAACACAAACCAUUCAAAAGUAGAAAUGAUUUCCUCGACUUUCAUUGGAACUACCGAUGAUUGUGUAACUCAACCUCAUCCAUGGAGCCAAACUUUUCUCCAUUUCUUUAGCCUCAAUGUUAAUACUUCAAUGGCAGAAAACUGCUUCUUCAAUUCUCGUCAGAUAUCUCUUGUGCUGUGGGUUUCUCUUCACCAGCUGCAGACUGUCCGUUUUCAGGUGUUUCUGUAGUUUCUUGUGCAGUGACUUCUUCAUCCUCUGCAGCUUUAUUCUCCUUGUUGCUCUCUUCUUCGCCUCCACUCUUCUCCUCAGCGCUUUCAGUAUCAUGUACCUCCUCUAAAGCCACUGGUGCAGGUAUUAUAUGUCCAUUCUGAGGCUGUGCGGGUAUGUUACACGGAUAUGCACCUGCUACCGGCGACAACGGGUACCCAUUCUGCGUUAUUUCCGUCCCAUUUGGUGAUACAAGAUAGCCGUUUGGUGACACUGGAUAUCCGUUAGAAACC